AAGGGCAGAUACAGCUUUUAAAGAGAGAAAUGCUUCAGGAUAGACCUGUUGUCAUUAGAGAUGGCUCACAGAUGGAUCUCUGUAUCCUGAAGUUCCCAGAAAAUGGAAUAAGGUGUGGAAGAGGUCAUCUUUCUGAGUCCAGUCACCUGCUCACGUCUGCUAGCCAAACUGAUAGACCUAAACUUGAAUCCCAAUAAUGCCUCAUGCUACCAUCACAUCCCCUGAGCUGCAGACCUGAACUAAAAAAGGCAUGAUGG
This is a non-coding RNA of Phasianus colchicus (ring-necked pheasant), 257 nucleotides long. Lineage: Eukaryota; Metazoa; Chordata; Aves; Galliformes; Phasianidae. The record is from RefSeq and is a predicted model, not a curated record.